Molecule: small nucleolar RNA, 86 nt
Organism: Manihot esculenta (cassava)
Lineage: Eukaryota; Viridiplantae; Streptophyta; Magnoliopsida; Malpighiales; Euphorbiaceae
Product: small nucleolar RNA snoR114
Exons: 1
Source: RefSeq, a predicted model, not a curated record
GAGCUAUGAUGAUUUCAGCGCUCGAUGAUGGAAGGGGUCCAUCAAGUUCGUCAGAAUUUCAGAUGAAAUCAAGCGCAACUGAGCUC